GAUGAACGCUAGCGAUAGGCCUAACACAUGCAAGUCGAGGGGCAUCACAUGAAGUAGCAAUACGGAUGGUGGCGACCGGCGCACGGGUGAGUAACACGUAUGCAACCUGCCUUCAACAAGGGGAUAACCCGUUGAAAGACGGACUAAUACCCUAUAACACAGGGGUCCCGCAUGGGAAUAUUUGUUAAAGGACAACCGGUUGAAGAUGGGCAUGCGUUCCAUUAGCUAGUUGGCGGGUAACGCCCACCAAGGCAACGAUGGAUAGGGGAACUGAGAGGUUUAUCCCCCACACUGGUACUGAGACACGGACCAGACUCCUACGGGAGGCAGCAGUGAGGAAUAUUGGUCAAUGGACGCAAGUCUGAACCAGCCACGUCGCGUGAAGGAAGACGGCCCUACGGGUUGUAAACUUCUUUUAUACGGGAAUAAAGUGCCCCACGCGUGGGGUUUUGCAUGUACCGUAUGAAUAAGGAUCGGCUAACUCCGUG
RNAcentral lists this ribosomal RNA (488 nucleotides) under uncultured bacterium. Its description in RNAcentral is "bacterial SSU rRNA". It matches the Rfam family "Bacterial small subunit ribosomal RNA", at positions 28 to 507 of the family's 1533-position model. The record is from RNAcentral.